RNA transcript from Pan troglodytes (chimpanzee), 19090 nucleotides. RefSeq lists it as uncharacterized. The record is from RefSeq and is a predicted model, not a curated record. The transcript has 5 exons. NCBI's taxonomy places the organism in Eukaryota, Metazoa, Chordata, Mammalia, Primates, Hominidae.
ACCCCGGCCGGGUGAUGUGGUCACUUACUGGGGGACUGUUGUCAGGCGCUGGCCACCCACCCUGGGUAGCACUGUCCCAUCUCACGACUGGACUUCCUCAGAUCCUGCAGAGGGCACAGCCUCCAGCCCAGGAGAGGCAGCCCCUUGGUGGAGCCUGAGCUCUCCAUGGGCCUGGAGCAUCACCUGCCAGCCCUGCACUCUCUCUUCUCCCAGGUCCUGCUUUUCCAGGGUCAGCCAGUGGGGAGGCCCCAUCCUCCCUUCCCUAUGUGUCUCCUGGGCUGAAACUUGCAGUGCACUGGGACAGGGAUGAGGCUUCCCUAAGGCCCAUUUAGGGAGAAGACUGGCUCCCAGCCUGGCACAGGUCCUCAGCUCUGCCUUGGUUGCCUUAGAAUGAGAUGGAUCAGUCAGUGCCCUGAAGGUAAAGGUAGGAGACUGUCCCUGCUUUUGGGAGGCUGGUCUAGGGAUGGAGGACUUAACAGGUCCUCCCAGUCUGUCAGGUCUGGGCAGCACUGUCCUGUCUUAGGACUCAGAAAGUCCAGUCCUGGGAUGGGACGGUGCUGCCAAGGGGGGGUGGCCAGGGUCUGACAGCAGUCCCCCAGGGAGUGACCACAUCACCCAGCGGGGGUCCAGGAAUCCUGGCCUGAGACCUGCCCAGUGCACUGAGGGUGCACCUGGAGCCCACUCCACCUGAUGAGCCCACAGCCCUCACAGGUCCUGACCUCCCAGAAUGCACCUGCCUCUCUCUGCACCCCAGCUGUCCACCCUGCCUAUUCUCUCACUUCCUCCAUCCUGUCCAGCGGGAUGGGAUGGGCAGGGGGACAGCCUGUGUGCACAUUUCAUGGCAAGCAGGAGUGACACAUCAUCCCUGGGAGGCACCUUGGUUCCUCCCAAACCCGGCCCCAGAACUCUGUCCCUGGGGUGGUUUUACCAAAUCCCAAACCCAGAACUGUGGUUGUGGUUCAGGGGUCAGCGCCCGCUGGUUCUACAAUGUCGCCAAGGACUUUGACUGUACAUUGUUCUUCUUUUCAAUAGUCAUUCCAAAUAUUGUGAGAUGUAUUGUUUCAGGAAGCCCCUUGCCCUCCUAAAAGCCACCCUACUUCUCUCUAAGGAGAAUGGCCCAGUCCUCUCCCGAGUUCACACAGAGGAGGUGAUAGCAUUGCUUUGUGUAAAUUACAUAAUGCAAAAAUUUUUAAAUCUUUGCAUUAAUACUUUUAACUUUUAUUUUUAAUGAUUAGCCUUCAUGCCCCCCCUUUUUUGUACCCCAACUUGGAGUGUAUGAAGGGUUUUUGUCUCCCUGAGAGCGGCUGGAGGCAGCCAGGGCUUAUCUGUACUCUGAUGAGAAAAGUUGGAUAAAAGUGCACAUCUUUAAAAAAAUUGAAUGACGAAGAAUUAACAAAAACAGUAUUUCAGUACAGUGGACAGCUUAACAUUUUGACAAUUGGGAAUAAAAUGCGCAGUUCUGAACUGUACAAUGUAAGACACAAAAACGAAACACUGGAAAUGGAAAUUCAAUUAUGUCACUGUAGACUGGCUACUGCUCUACAUGAUUGUGACCAAAGUCAGAUAGUUGAAAGAGAUUUCUUUCCAGAGAACAAGACAUGAACAGGUUUAUUUACAGAAAAAAAUGAAUUCUCAUAUAUCUAACCUAAAAUAUAACAGAUUCUUUCAGAACAAGUCUAACGUAGACAGUAAAAUUAACAGGCUAAAAAUUAAGCUCCAUCAAACAAGAUGAACUCUGAGAGAAUAGAUGGGGCAGGCCUCCAUCUUUCCUGUUCAGGCAACUUAGUCAUUCCAGCCUGAGGGCUUUGGAGAGUACAAACUGACCAGUGGCAGAAGAGAUCCCACAGCACAGCAUAGCUGCUUUACCAAAUCAUGGCCAGACUGCUUCUGUAAGCAGGCCCCUGACCCUGUUCCACGUCACAGGACAGGACCUCCCAACUGGGGCCUCCAGCUACCGCCACCAGCAUUCCUUGGCCAAUGGAAAUUUGAAGUGUUCCUGGGACAGAGCUCCCAGAGAGAGGGGCAGGCCACCACCAUUACUGUUUGGGUGACUAGCCGUUCUGGCCUGCGGGCUUUGGAAAGCCCAAGGUGAAAAGGGGUGGAAGAGGAACCUCAGCACAGCACAGCACAGCCACACUACAAAAACGUGGCCAGACUCUUGUUUAAGUCAGUCCCCGACCACAUUUCUAAUCAGUGGGUGAAGCCUUUCAACCAGGGUCUCCAGCUACAUUCACUGCUGUUCUCUGGCCGACAGAGGUUUCAGGCCUCGCUGAGUCAGAGCUCCCAGGAGGAGGACCAGACUGUCAUCUUUGCUGUUGGGGCAACUCAGCCAUUUCAGCCUUAGGGCUUCAGAGUGUCUGAGGCGACCAGGAGUGGAAGUGAACCCCCGGCAUAGCACAGCUGCUCUAGAAAAACGUGGCCAGACUUUUUUUUUAAGCAAGUCCCUGUUCUUGUUCCUCCUGACUAGAUAAGACUUCUCAACUUGUCUGCAGUCAUAUCUUAUAGGUGUGUUCAUAUCGGCAACAAGUUCGUACCUCAGUGGCCCAGAGCUCCCAGAGGAAGGGGCAGGCUAUCAUCUUCCCUGGAAAAUACAAGGCAAAUAGGGACUGGAGGGGACACCCAGCAUACCAGCAGCCUGACAGAAAAGUUGCCAGACAGUCUACUUGAUAAGAAGGUCCUCCUGGCCUGGGUCUCCAGCCAGUCCACCACUGGAGCUAUCAAGCCAGUAGCAACUCAGCAAUUCCCUGGACAGAGCUUCCAGGAGCAAAUGAAAUUCUCUCUGCCACUGUCUCUGCAGUGGAACUGCCCUUGCUACCCUCAGAAUAUCAAGGGAGCAAAGACCCUAAGUGCCAUAUCGACACCUCCAAUAAGCUGCAGUUGACCCAACGAACAAGCCAGUCCAUCUCCCACGUGUGCCACACACCCCACACUGCUCAUCACCAGAGAGGGAACCCUGGCUUGGGCUCACAACACAGACCCUCCAUCCUGGGCUGAUUACGCUAAGUGAUUGCUAACUCACAUCUCUCUGGGAUGGAGCACCCAGGAGAAAAGCAGAGUGGUGGAGCAGCAAGUCAGGUGAUGUGGAGCCCAGAGGGCAGGGACAGCUAUCUCUCUAGGUUCCACUUGCCCUUGUGAGACACUUCAUCCCAGCACUUUAGGAAUGCUAAGCUCAGAUCAGCCCCAUCUCAUGUUCAAGAUUGCCCAGCAGAGAUCAGGUCCCAGAGUUCCUCUCUUAAAAAAGGGGACUUGCUUAAAAAAGAAGCCUGCCCAUGUUUGUGUAAAGCAGCUAUGCUGUGCUGGGGGUUCACUUUUGAGAGAGUUCUCCUCUGAGACCUGAUCUCUGCUGGGCAGUCUUGCCCAUGAGAUGGGGCUGGUCUGAUGUCAGCACUCCUUAGUCUGCUUGCCUCUCCCAGGACCCCAGCCUGACCACACCUGCUUACAGGGCACUCUCGGAUGCCCACAGCAUAGCUUCCGUGCUAGUGGACCAUACCUGAUCAGUGGAGAGCUGCAGCAAGGUGGCCCCAACAGCCACACACCAGUCUGCAGAUUACCUCUCCAUACUGCAGCCCUUUAUAUGGAAACUUCCUACAUCACUUUGCUGUGUGUAUUUACACAGGUGGGUUUUGCUGUACUUGCCCUGAGAGCACAUGGGAGUGCAGCACACACACCAACCCACACCAACUGCCAUUGAAGACAGAGCCUUGGUGGGCACAGAACCAAGAACCCCACCCCUGCCAGCACCUCACCGUUGAGCUAAUGCUGUGCAGAGAAAAAGGGACCUUCUUAUACCCUGAGCGACCACUGUUGCUUUGAGGGGCACAGAGAAGGCACCAUGGUCUGCACUGGCCAGCAGCUCACUCUGAACCAACACUACCUCCAGUACAACACACACACAGCAGGGGAGCCCUGGCCCACACCCCAGCUGUCUUGUCUCCACCACUGGGUGAACACCCGCAGGGAGGCAGGGAAUUUUGCAUCCACUAGCAUUCCGUCACAGUUGCUACACUUCGGUCCCCGCAGUGCAGUGGACUCCAAACCUCGAGGAGCCAGAGAACAAAGUUGGGGCCCAAGACAAGUUCCCCAGAGUUAAAGCACACAGUCCAGGAAUUGGGAGCUGCACAUUGGCCCCCCCAAAAUCCUCCAAAAACAAAGCCAGUUGGUUGAAUCCACCUUAUACCGCAAUGAAACCCUCAAGAUCAUCAAAUACAAUAAAAGAAAAAUACCCUGUCCUAAGGUCAGCAACCUCAAAGAUGGAAGGUGGAUAAGCCCAUAAAGAUGAGAAAGAAUCUGUGUGAGAACACUGAAAACUCAAAAAGUAGCAUGCCUUCCUUCCUCCAAAUGACUGCAUCAACUCUCCAGCAAGUGUUCAGAACUGGGCUGAGGCUGAGAUGUCUGGAAUGAUACAAGCAGUGUUCAGGAUAUGCGUAGGAACAAAGUUCACUGAGUGAAAGAAGUAUGUUGUCAUGCAAUACAAGCGAGCUAAAAAUCAUUGUAAAACAUUGCAGGAGCUAACAGACAAAAUAGCAAGUAUAAAGAAGACAUAACCGACCUAAUAGAGCUGAAAAGCACACUAUAAGAAUUUUCAUAAUGGAGUCACAUGGUGAUUAUGUGUGAUUGCAUUAUGAAAAUUAUUGUAGUGUGUGUGGGCACCCGAGAUUGCCCUGUAAGCAGUUGUGGCCAGGCUGGGGUCCUGGGAGAGGCAAGCAGACUAAGGAGGGCUGAGGUCAGACCAGCUCCAUCUCAUGUGCAAGACCACCCAGCAGAAUAGACCAAACAGAGGAAAGAAUCCCAGAGCUUGAAAACUGGCUUUCUGAAAUAAAACAGGCAGACAAGAAUGGGGGAAAAAAAGAAGGAAAAGAAAUGAACAAAGCAUCCGAGAAAUAUGGGAUUAUAUAAAUGACCAAACCUAUGACUGAUUAAUGUACCUGAAAGAGAUGAGGAGAAUGGAAGCAGCUUGGAAAACGUACUUCAGAAUAUCUUUCAUGAGAAUGUCCCCAACCUAGCCAGACAGGCCAACAUUCAAAUUUAGGAAAUCCAGAGGACCGCAGUAAGAUAUGCCAUGAGAAGAUCGUCCCCAAGACAUAUAAUCAUCAGAUUCUCCAAGGUCAAAAUGAGAGAAACAAUGUUAAAGGCAGCUAGAGAGUUAAAAUGGUUAAAAUGAGAGCUAGAGAGUUAAAUGGUUAAAAAAAAAAAGACAAGAAAUUUCAACCCAGAGCUUCAUGUCCAGCAAAAUUAAGCAUAAGUGAAGGAGAAACAAGAUCCUUUCCAGACAAGCAAAUGCUGAGAGAAUUCAUUAUCACCAGAUCUACCUUACAAGAGCUCCUGAAUGAAGCAUUAAAUAUGGAAAGAAAAGACCAUCACCAGCCACUACAAAAAUGCACCAAAGUACACAGAACAGUGAUGCUAAAAACCAACCACAUACACAAGACUGCAAAAUAACCAGCUGACAGCAUGACGACAAGAUCCAAUCCACACAUACCAUUACUAACCUUAAAUGGAAAUGGGCUAAAUGCUCCAAUUGAAAGACACAGGGGGGCAAGCUGGAUAAAGAACCAAGACCCAUUUGAGUAUGCCAUCUCCAAGAAACCCAUCUCACAUGCAGUGCCAUACAUAGGCUCAAAAUAAAGGAAUGGAGAAAAAUCUUUCAAGCAAAUGGAAAACAGAAAAAAGCAGGUGUUGCCCUCCUAGUUUUGACAAAACGUAUAUACCAAUAAAGAUUUAAAAAGACAGAGAAGGACAUUACAAAGAUGUCCCUGACCUUUGAUAAAUCUCAUUAUUGCUUGAUACCAACCUGGGCUAUCUUUAUUGCCCAAAUCAACAGGAUAAUUUGCUGAGUUUGUGGAGUUUCUCCCCUGCAGAGGGUCCCUGAUCUCCCAAAACCUAGUUGAGAUCUAAGUUUGAUUUUGCUGUACAACUCCUUUUCUGAAGUUUUACUCAUUUCCAACAAGGAAGGCAAGUUUUCCUGCUUCCACGAUGAUGGAGAGCAGGCACCUCCUUUCCUGAGUUUCAGCUUGCUUCUGACAGGGAAGGUGAGUGUAAGUUUUUUCCAGCUUCUAAGAUGGCAGAGAAUGAUCACCAGCCUGAGCCUUAUUUCCAGGUAAGUAGCUGAAUUUGAGUUUUGUCUUAAAAUUUUUCCUUAAUGACUAAAAUUUAAGAUUACUCACCAGUUGCUUUUAAUUUCUGCUUUUAAUUUCUCCUUACCAUUAGAACACUCAGUAAUCAUAUGAAUUAUGCAUUUGUUGUUUUGCUUAACUCUUUUUGUUUGUUUAUGCUUGGGGUUUUAUUGUUGUUGUUUCACUUUUCUCCCAUCUCUUCCUGACUUGGUCAAAUUCAAAGGAAUGUUCCAAAUUGUGGGGAGCAAGGCCUCUGAAUUGGCUAAAACUCCUAUGGCUGCAAAAAAACAAACAAAUAAACAACAACAAAAAACAUUCCAGUUAGCAGAAAUUAUUUUUUAAAACUUUUUUUUUUACGUAAGUGGUCUCAUCUACAUAAAAAGGCCAUUCUUUUGCUAGCCAAGGCCAAAGUGAAGGAGUACUGGUGGUGACCUAAUGUGAAGAUUCUGCCCUGUUCACUACAGAAACCUGAGUUUGAUUCCUAAGUCUAGUUCUUUCUGUUUGAUAUUUGUGUUACUUUUAGAACGUGAGCAGUUUGUCCCAGCUAUGAUGUGGUAGUAAAAGAUUCGAAAGGAUUUUCUUUACAAGUUCUAUGAUUAAAAGCUUAAUUAAAAGCAAAUUUCUUUUUUUUUAAAUUAUACUUUAAGUUCUGGGGUACAUGUGCAGACAUGCAGGUUUGUUACAUAGGUAUACACAUGCUAUGGUGGCUUGCUGCAUCCAUCAACCCAUGAUCUACAUUAGUUAUUUCUCCUAAUGCCGUCCCUCUCCUAGCCCCCCACCCUGACAGGCCCUGGUGUGUGAUGUUCCCCUUCCUGGGUCCAUGUGUUCCCAUUGUUCUACUCCCAAUUAUGAAUGAGAACAUGUGGUGUUUGGUUUUCUGUUCUUGUGUUAGUUUGCUGAGAAUGAUGCUUUCCAGCUUCAUUCAUGUCCCAGCAAAGGACGUGAAUUCAUCCUUGUUUAUGGCUGCAUAGUAUUCCAUGGUGUAUAUAUGCCACAUUUUCUUUAUUCAGUCUAUCAUUGGUGGGCAUUUUGGUUGGUUCCAAGUCUUUGGUGUUGUGAACAGUGCCGCCAUAAACAGACAGGUGCAUGUGUCUUUAUAUUAGAAUGAUUUAUAAUUUUGGGUGUAUAUACCCAGUAAUGGGAUUGCUGGGUCAAAUGAUAUUUCUAGCUGUAGAUCCUUGAGGAAUUGUCACACUGUCUUCCACAAUGGUUGAACUAAUUUAUAUUCCCACAAACUGUGUAAAAGCAUUCCUAUUUCUCCACACCCUGUCCAGCAUCUGUUGUUUCCUGAUUUUUUAACAAUGGCCUUUCUAAGUGGUGUGAGAUUGUAUCUCACUGUGGUUUUGAUUUCCAUUUCUCUAAUGACCAGUGAUGAUGUGCUUUGCUUCACAUGUUCGUUGGCUGUAUAAAUGUCUUCUUUGGUAAGUGUCUAUUCAUAUCCUUUGUCCACUUUUUGAUGGGAUUGUUUGUUUUUUUUCUUGUAAAUUUGUUCUUUGUAGAUUCUGCAUAUUAGCCCUUUGUCAGAUGGAUAGAUUGCAACAAUUUUCUCCCAUUCUGUGGGUUGCCUGUUCACUCUGAUAAUAGUUUCUUUUGCACUGCAGAUACUGUUUAGUUUAGUUAGAUCCCAUUUGUCAAUUUUGGCUUUUGUUGCCAUUGCUUUUUGUGUUCUAGUGAUGAAGUCUCUCCCCAUGGCUCUGCCCUGAAUGAUAUUGCCUAACACAAGGAUAUUUCUGUGCCUGAGUGCUAUACCACCCAAAGUAAUUUAUAGAUUCAUUGCUAUCCUCAUCAAGCUACCAUUGACUUUCUUCAUAGAAUUAGAAAAACUACUUUAAAUUUCAUAUGGAACCAAAAAAGAGCCCACAUAGCCAAGACAAUCCUAAGCAAAAACAACAAAGCUAGAGACAUCACAGUACCUGACUUCAAAUUAUUCUACAAGGCUACAGUAAUCAAAACAGCAUGCGGCUGGUACCAAAUCAGAUCUAUAGACCAAUGGAACAGAACAGAGGCCUCAGAAAUGACACCACAUAUCUAAAACCAUCUGAUCUUUGACAAACCUGACAAAAACAAGCAAUGGGUAAAGGAUACCCUAUUUAAUAAAUGAUCUUGGUAAAACUGGCUAGCCUUAUGCAGAAAACUGAAACUGGGCCACACCCAUACACCUUAAACAAAAAUUAAGUAACAUGGAUGAAAGAGUUAAACGUAAGACCUAAAACCAUAAAAAAAUCUAGAAGAAACCUAGGCCACCAAGCUCAGGGGAAAUGCACCUGUAGUGAAAUGCAUGGUACAAACACGCAUUCCCUGCUUCCUUGAGUGGGCGAUGUUGAUGGCUAGUCCAAUCACUCCAGGCACACCCUUGCAAACGUGGCUGGUUGCUUUUUGAGCCAGCUUGGCUUUGCCCGGCAUGCACAAGUCAGUGCAACAACUGUGACACAAAUGGAGCCACACAGAGAAAAUGAGCAGCAGGCUCAGGAGCAGGGUGUGCGCUGCCUUGGGGGCUCCAGUCCAUACCUCAGGGCUCAUAUGGCACUGCGGGCUUCUUGGUUGCAAAGAGGCAGGCCACAGGCCAUCUUCAGGAGGUCUUUAUGUGCAGAAAGCAGCCAGGAUUACCACCCGUGGGACUCGGCCUUUUGUGACCCUGGCCUGACAGAGUUUGGUCCAAGGCAGGACAAGCUCACUCAGAGCAACGUGUCAGUACCUGGGGCCUGUGCAUGCCAGUCAAGGCCAAGCUGGCUCAAAGAGCAACCAGCCACCUCUGCAAGGGUGUGCCUGGAGCAGGUGGAGGAGCCACCAACCUCACCCACUCAAGGAAGCCCAGAUGGCCAGGUUCCAACAGCAUGAGUGGCUGCCACCUUAUGACUGAUGGAGCAGAGUCCUGAGGAAAAGCAGAUGGCACUGUGGCCCUAACUCUAGGGCAGAAGAACUGAUGUACCCUGACUGGCAGGAUGUGAGGUUGGUGACUGGCCCACCUGCUCCUGGCACACCCCUGCAGGGGUGGCUGGUUGCUCUUUGAGCCAGCUUGGCCUUGCCUGGAAUGCACAAGCCUCGGUGCAACAACCGUUCUACAAAUGGAGCCAUAUAUAGGAAAGGAGCAGGAGGGUCGGGAGCAGGGUGUGCACUGCCUUUGGGGCUCCAGUCCAUGCCUCAGGGCUCCUAUGGCACUGCAGGCUUCUUGGUUGCCAAGAGGCAGACCACAGGCCGUCUUGAGGAAGACUUUAUGUUCAAGUGCAGAAAGCAGCCAGGAUUAGCACCCAGAGGACUCGGCCUUCUGUGGCCCUGGCCUGACAGAAUUUGGCCCAAGGCAGGACAAGCUCACUCAGAGCAGUGUGCCAGUAGGUGGGGCCUGUGCAUGCGAGGCAAGGCCAAGCUGGCUCAAAGAGGAAUCAGCCACUUCUGCAAGGGUGUGCCUGGAUCAGGUGGACAAGCCAAUAAUCUCACCCACUGAAGGAAGCCAGGAUGGCCAGGUUUCCACAGCCUGAGUGGCUGCCUCCUGAUGGCUGAUGGAGCAGAGGCCUGAGGAAAAGCAGGUGGCAUGUUUAACUCUUUAAUCUAUCUUAAGUUAAUUUUUGUAUAAAGCAGAUGGCACCGGUCCUUGCCUCGGGGUUCAUAUGGCACUGCGGGCCACAGAAGGCUGAGUCCCCUGGGUGGUAAUCCUGCCUACUUUCUGCACUUGAACAUAAAGUCCUCCUCAAGACGGCCUGUGGUCUGCUUCUCGGCCCCACCUUUAGGGUAGAAGAACUGAUGUACCACAUCUGACAGUGAGUGAGGUUGGCGGCUGGUCCAUCUGUUCCUGGCACACCCUUGCAGAGGUGGCUGGUUGCUCUUUGAGCUAGCUUGGCCUUGCCUGCCAUGCACAAGCCUCACUGCAACAAGUGUACUACAAAUGGAGCCAUAAAGAGGAAAUGAUCAGCAGGCUCAGGAAUGGGGCGUGCACUGCCUUUGUGGCUCCAGUCCAUGCCUCACGGCUUGUAUGGCACUGUAGGCUUCUUGGUCGCCAAGAGGCAGACCACAGGCGGUCUUGAGGAGGACUUUAUGUUCAAGUGCAGAAAGCAGCCAGGAUUAGCACCCAGGGGACUUGGCCUUCUGUGGCCCUGGCCAGAGGUAGAAUUUGGCCCAACACAGUACAAGCUGACUUGGAACAGCGUAUAGGUAGCUGGGGCCUGUGCAUGCCAGGCAAGGCCAAGCUGGCUCAAAGAGGAAUCAGCCACCUCUGCAAGGGUGUGCCUGGAGCAGGUGGAGCAGCCACCAACCUCACCCACUCAAGGAAGCAGGGAUGGCCAGAUUCCUACAGCCUGAGGGGCUGCCUCCUGAUGACUGAUGGAGCAGAGGCCUGAGGAAAAGCAGAUAGCACUGUGGCCCUACCUGUAGGGUAGAAGAACUGAUGUACCCCGACCGGCAGCAAGUCAGGUUGGUGGCUGGUCCACCAGCUCCAGGCACACGCUUGCAGAGGUGGCUGAUUCCUCUUUGAGCCAGCUUGGCCUUCCCCGGCAUGCACAAGUCAGUGCAACAACUGUGACACAAAUGGAGCCACACAGAGAAAUUGAGCAGCAGGCUCAGGAGCAGGGUGUGCGCUGCCUCGGGGGCUCCAGUCCAUGCCUCAGGGCUCGUAUGGCACUGCGGGCUUCUUGGUUGCAAAGAGGCAGACCACAGGCCAUCUUCAGGAGGUCUUUAUGUUGAAGUGCAGAAAACAGCCAGGAUUACCACCCGUGGGACUCGGCCUUUUGUGGCCCUGGCCUGACAGAAUUUGGCCCAAGGCAGGACAAGUUCACUCAGAGCAACGUGUCUAUACCUGGGGCCUGUGCAUUGCCAGUCAAGGCCAAGCUGGCUCAAAGAGCAACCAGAGCAUCCAUUCUGGUGGAUGAGCCAACCACAUGGCCAGCUUCUGGGUGUGGGCACAGUGCCACAUCUUCCAUCACUUUCUGAUGUAUCCCACCAGCACUGAAGAGACAGCCUGGAGAGAGUGCAAGAGGAAGGCUGAGAAGGAUGAGAUGGUGAGUGCUGGCUUCUUUCUGACCCUCAGCACACCCCCAGGUGGGGACCAUCAACCUUUAGGGGUGGGAGAGCAAGAUUGAUGGCUUCAAAUGCUUCCCCAAGAAGAUGGACACAGGACACUCAGCUCAACCUCACAGCCAAUGAGUUGACAUGCAAGCAGAUGACAGUGCAAGCUCUUUUAGAAAGAGCUUCAGAAGGUGGCCAGUUUUUCUUCAGCCUCAGCCAGGCCUUGGAGCUUGACUAGGCCAUCCACUUCAGCAGAGAUGCCUUCAAGAACAUCAGUGAGCUCUUUGCCAAUCAGUCCAGGAAGGACCUGGAGCCAGCCAUGGACCUGUUAGUGCUGUCUCAGGGACACCAGACCAACAUCCUGGACAUCAUCCUCGUACACAAGGAAGCUCUUACCAAAGUCACGGACAACAGGCAACAUGUGGCAGAAGGGAAGACAGAGUUACAGAGGCUGAUGGCGUCAUUAUCACAGGAACAGGAUUUCUUUGGCCACUUUGGCUGAAAUUUACCACUUCCAUCCAAUUCACUCAAGUGAGAGACUUGAAAUCACAGAUGGAGCAUUUCUUGCAACAAGAGAUACUAUUUUUUCAAAAAGUCACCUAAAAUUUGAUAGUGUUGAAUGACUAGUUAUUUGAUUGUGAACUUUUUCCAGUUCACAGGUACUUUCUACAGCAGAAUGAUAACAGUAUCAAAGAGCUAGUGCCAGCUAUCAGUGGUAGUACAAGGAUGAUUUUGUGCUCAACUGAAACCCAGCUGAAUAUAGAAUUGUGUAGGAUAGUGUUAAUAUGGUGAUAAAAUAGAAACAGCAGCAAAUGAACUAAGUCAUACUAUGAAUGCCUACGCUACCAUGGUUACUUUUUGAAGAAUGAUAAUAUCACUUACUUUAUUGCCUUUUGAAGUAGGAAUAUUUUAGUGGAUAUGCUAUAGACCUCAAGCCCUAUAAAGAGUCUCAAAGAAGCUGGCUGGAUAAAGCCUGCUGUGGAUGUCUUUAUACUCAAAGACUGAUGACGCCAUUCGAAUAUGUGUCCCCACCACAUCUCAUGUUGUGUUAUAUUUCCUAAUGUUGGAGGUGGGUCCUGGUAUAAGGCGAUUGAAUCAUGAAGGCAAACUUCUCAUGAAUGGUUCAGCACCAUCCCCUUGGUACUGUCCUCAUCACAAUCAUGAGUGACCUCGUGAGAUCUGGCCACUAAAAACUCUAUAUCACUCCCUACUCUCCGUGAUUUCCUCUUGCCAUGUGAGACAAUUUGCUCUUUCAUUGCAUUGUGCAAUGAUUGAAAGAUUUCUGAGACCCCCCAGAAGCAGAAGCACUGUGCUUCCUGUCCACCCUGCAGAACCAUGAGCCAAUUAAACCUCUUUUUCCAAAUAAAUCAUACCAAAAAUGGCAAAUGAGGACUGGAGCUUUGCUAUAAAGAUACCUAAAAAUGUGGAAGCAGCUUCGGAACUGGGUAAUGGGUAGAGGUUGGAAGAGUUUGGAGGGCUCAAAAGAAGACAGACAGAUGAGAACAUUUUUGGGCCAUCUUAGAGACUGGUUAAAUGGUUGUGACAAGAAUGCUGACAGAAACAUGGACAGUGAAGGCCAGGCUGAGGGGGCCUAGAUAAAAAUAAGAAGCUUUCUGGAAAAUGUCUUCCUUUUGGAUAUGGAAAGCUUACACAAUGCCUGUACCAUCAUUUUACUUUAGACGCAGUGAACUUGCUUUUUAUUUCAGAGACUCGUAGGAAAAAGAGAAUGUAGCCUUGACCCAGAUGAGACUUUGUACUUUGUAACUUUGAGUUAAUGCUGAAAUGAGUUAAGACUUUGGGAGACUGCUGGCAAUGCAUGACUGUAUUUUGCAAAGUGAGAAGGACAUGAGAUUUGUGGUGUCAGGGACAGAAUAAUACGGUUUUUCUCUAUGCCCCUUCCAAAACUCAUGUGAAAAUACACUCCCUAAUGUUAGAGUCGGGGCCUAGGUGGAAAAAGCUUUAAUCAUAAAGGAGUGGGAGUGGAUCCUUCACAAAUGGUAAAGCACCAAGACCUUAAUGCCAUCCUCCUGAUAGUGAGUGAGUUCUCAUGAGAUCUAGUAGUUUAAAAGGCUGUGGAACCUCUUUCCUCUCUCUGUCUUGCUCCAACUUCUGCCAUAUGAAACAUGUCAUUGCCGCUUGGAUUUCCGGUGUGGUUAGGAGGGGCCUGAUCAUUGUGGGCCUGGUCAGUGGUAGGUCAGUGAGGCCUAUUUAGUGGGAUCGUGGUCAGCAGGGGUCUGCUUAGAGAGGGUCUUAUUACUGGGAUCAAGUUUUAGGGGUUUUGGUGAGUGGGGACCUAUUGGCUGCCAGAUGUUUGGUGUCUGGUCAGUGCAAACCUGGGCUGUGGGGCUUGAUCAGUGGAGACCUGGUCAUCUGGGACUUAGUGCUGGCCUGGUCAGCAUGGGCUGGGGCACUGGUGACCAGGUCAAGGGGUGCUAUUCAGUGGAGGACUGGGCACAUGGAACCCAGUCAGCAGAGCCUGGUAGGCGUGUCCUCAUCAGUGAGGCCCUUGUCGGUGGGUCCCUGGUCAGGGCAGCCUUGUCAGUAGGACCUAAUCGGUAGGGUCCUGGUCAGAGAGGACUUUGUCAGUGGUGACUUUUGUAGCACUGGUCUACAGGGUGACCUGGUCAGCGGGGAUCUGAGCAUUACAUGCCUGUUCAGUGGGGUCUACUCACGAGGGUCCCAGUCAGGGGCAUCUGGUGACCUUAGGCCUGGUUAGUAGUGGCCUGAUCAGUGGCAACCUGUUCCCUGGAGGCCUGGUCAGUGGGGCCUCAUCUUUGGGGCCAGGGAAUGAGGUCAUGAUCAGUGGAACCUGAUCAGUGAGGCCUUGUCAAUAAUGACCUAGUCAGUGAGGACUUGUCAGUAAGGACUUUGUCCGUGAGGCCUUGUCAGUGAGGCCUUGUCAGUAAGGUCCUGGUCAGUGGAGUCCUUGUCAUUGUGUGCCUGGCAGUGGGGGCCUUGUUAUUGGGGCCUGGUCAUGAGGGUCUAAUCAGUGAGGGUGUUGUCAGGGAGGACCUGAUUUGCAGGGUCUGGUCAGCAGGGACCUGGUCAAUGUGGGCUACUGAGCACUGCUUGGAUAAGCCAGGUGCAAUGUGCAUUAUUGAAGGCCCUGUGGACAGCUGGGGUAGCCCAGUGGUGCCCAAGGGCCCAGUCAAAAGUGGACAAAGCAUGUGUUUGGAUGGACCUGGGAGAUCCUGCUGAGAGAUUCUGAGAGGACAACGGUAAAGGAAGGGCCAGAGUGGCUGGAGAGAUGGUCACAGUCUAUGGGCUGCACAGGAUGGAGGAGGCCAGGUAACAGGCAGGGUGGGCAGUUGGGGUUCAGGGAGAGGCAGGUGCAUGCUGGGAGGUCAGACCCUGUGAGGGCUGUGGGGGCAUCAGGUGAGGUGGGCUCUAGGUGCACUCUCAGUGCACUGGGUAGGUCUCACCCCAGGCUCCCUGGACCCCAGCCAAGUGAUGUGGUCACUCCCUGGGGGACUGCUGUCAGGCCCUGGCCAACCACCCUGGGCAGUGCUGUCCCAUCUCAGGAUUGGACUUUCUCAGUUCCUGCAGAGGGCACAGCCUCCAGCCCAGGAGGGGCAGCACCAUGGUGCAGCCCGAGCUCUCCAUGGGUCUGGAGCAUCCCCUGCCAGCCCUGCACUCCCUCUUCUCCCAGGUCCCACUUUUCCAGUAUCAGCCAGCUGGUAGGCCCCCUCCUCCCUUCCCUAUGUGUCUCCCGGGUGGAAACUAGCGGCGGAUUGGGACAGGGAUGGUGCUUCCCUCAGGCCCACUUAGGGAGGGGACUGGCUCCCAGCCUGGUGCAGGUCCUCAGCUCUGCCUUUGUUGCCUUAGAGUGAGAAGGAUCAGUUAGUGCCCUGAAGGUGAAGGUAAGAGAUUGUCCUUGCUGUGUGGGAGGCUGUUCUAGGGAUGGAGGACUUGGCAGGUUCUCCCAGUCUGUCAGGCCUGGACAGCACUGUCCUGUCUCAGGACUCAGAAAGUCCAGUCCUGGGAUGGGACGAUGCUUCCCAGGGUGGGUGGCCAGGGUCUGACAGUAGUACCCCAGGGAGUGACCACAUCACCCAGCCAUGGUCCAGAGGGCCUGGACUGAGACCUGCCACAUGCACUGAGGGUGCACCUGGAAUCCACUCCACCUGACAUCCCCGCAGCCCUCACAGGCCUGACCUCCCAGCAUGCACCUGCCUCUGCCUGCACCCCAGCUGUCCACUCUGCCUGUUCCCUGACUUCCUCCAUUCUGUCCAGUAGGAUUGGCUGGUCUCGGGCGACAGCCUAUGUGCACAUUUGGUGGCAAGUAGAAGUGACACACCAUCCCUGGGAGUUGCCAUAGUUCCUGCCAAACCCAACCCCAGAACUCUGCCCCUGAGGUGGUUUUACUAAAUCCCAAACCCAGAACUGUGGUUGUGGCUCAGGGGUCAGCACCCGCUAGUGCCAGGACACUAUUGGGAGGCUGGGACCUGACCAAAACCCAUGGUGCCUGUGGCCUGAGGACAGUGUGUCUUGGGGCCAUAAGGCCAGGCCAACAAUGGCCAUUGUGUCAUAGGGGCUCAGCCCCAGUGUUUAUCCUUCCCUGGCUACUUCUGAUUCAGUCCCAUCAGGGCCCUGGAGCCCAAGACCCAGCAUCCAAGGUCCCCUCCAGGAAUCCUGGUGGCUCAGCUUACUUUAUUGUGUUUCAUCUGACAACAAAAAUGUCAGAUUGGAUGCACAGAAAAAUGACUGGAAGUGCUUAAUGACUAGAAGAAAUCUAGGAGCAGCAAGAAGGUAAUGUGGAGAGGGCAGGAACUCCAUGACUGGUAUCUGCAGAGCCAGGGGUACAGGCACCCAGUGCUGUGUCCUGGCACCACCUGUCUCUCUCAGGGUGAAUAGCACACUGUCCUUACCCAGAGGACAGCAGACCUGGUCACCAGGUUUCGGCCUGUCCCUGCAAGCAUCACAUUGCUGGAAGAGAAUCUCAUGCCUGAGCUGGCACCAUCCCUAGCUCAGGGGUUAGGGGUUGUCUCUUGGUGACCUAAAUGAAAAAAUAGGUCUAGAUCAGAUUUCCCGACGCUGAGCACUCAUCCACUCUUUGAAUCGUGGGAGGGGAGUCCCGGUCCUCGGCUGCUCCUCAAGGGAGACCCCUUUCAGGUAUGGGGCUGGGCAAGGUCAAUCCUGCUGGAUGUCUAGAAGGUGGAAACCAAGGACCUAGGAAAAUACCAGGUACAGACUUUCCACGCUCAUCCAGAGCAGGACAAACAGGCCAGGCGAUGUCAGGAGCCCAGGUCUCCAGCUGGAGGGAACGUCAACCCUGCAGUGGGAGCAGGGGCCCAUUGCACAUCCUAGGCACAGAUGGUAACGUAGGCACCACAGUGAGCCCUUUGUUCAUUCUGCGGUUGGGCUGCUUUCUCCUCUGGGCCCUGCCCUGCAGAUCAGAAAGAAGAACAGUAAGAGGUCCCCAGCAAACAUCCACAGAUGGCCCUGGAGAUAAGUCACCUUCUGAGAAACACGUCAUAUUCUGGGAGGGCUAAGGCAUUAAGCAAGUCUUAUGGGGUUGGAGGAUCCCGGGGCAGGUGUGGCAAUCCAUAGCCAUGGGGGCUUCCCAGGGGAAUUGGGAGGUCCCAAGGCAGAGGCAGGGGUUCCACAGGAGGAGUCACAGAGCCACCAAGGGCUCUCCUGGCCCAGGAAGCAGUCAAUACCAUGGACUGAACACCUGCUGGGCUCCAAGCCCUGGUCCAGGAUGGGGCAUGUGGGGCCCGGAGGGAGCUCAGAGUGGGAGGCAGAGAGAAGCGUGCUCAGAGGGCACCCAUUUCUGCAUGUAACGUGGUCCUGAGAUUUUUGCUGGGAAGGGUUUCCAGGGUUUCAUAUGUGUUAUGGAGCUACUUCCUCUCCCCAGCCUCACCCUGCAGGAAUCCAGUGACUAUAUUGCCGCCAGUGUACCCAUUCCUGAGGGGUGAUGCUUCUACAAGGCCUGUGACUUGGUGCACAACUUCAGACACCAUCAUCCUGAGCAAGUGGGCUUCUCCGGGAUCUUAAUUCAGGAGGUAGAAUGCAGCUUGAGAUCAAGUGUCCGAUCAAAGAACUUGAACUUGAUCUGGAGUGCUUUGGGGAGCCAUGGAAGGUGCUGGAUAAAGGAGGGGACAGUCAGAUACGUGUUAGAGAUGACUGUAGAAGGCUGACUGGAAUGAGUGAACAAGAGCAGACCAGGGAGGGAGCUUGUGGGGCAGGUCUGGAGAUGGCAAGGGAGGGAUCCUGCUUGGAUGAACAGUCUCCAGAGACUGUCUCAGGUUACAAUCAGGUGCCCUCAGAGCUAGUGUGUUCAGAGGUCUUGUCUCUAGGAUGAAAAUGGGAAGGAGUUGUCAGAUGAGGACGUGUAAAUGGAGGCUGGCCUGUUCAUGAAUGCCAGUGGUGGUCCUGGUGUGGGGCUACUAUGAGAACAGGGGUCUGUCCAUCCAGGGACAUGGUGGAUGGACCCUACAUCACUCCAUUCUGCCCUUUCCUUCCCUCCUCCCAUUCUACCAAGGGCCUCACUGCAUUGGCACUCUCCAUCCUCUGGUACUGAAGCAGCCAAGAGACACAAACCUGCCUGGCCACCUUUAGAAUAUGACAGCACAGCCAGUGACCUCUACUGGAUCCUGUACAACCUCACAAGACCCCCAGACACCAGGAGUGCUGCUAGAACAUGGUGCAAGAGUCCUGAGGGACCACAGUCCUGAAGACAUUGAAUGUUUUUAGGUGAAAAAAACUGGGGCAAAGAGCAAUACAAGAGAGUUGCCAAAAUUCAUACUGCUUGUCCAGGUUUGAAGCAAGCAGUCUGCACCUAGUGUCCUUGUCUGUAACCAUGGCACCCUGGUUUCUCACACAUCUCAUAAUGGAGUUCCACCUUGUGUCAAGCAUGGCACUGAGCAGUUUCUUUUAAGAACAUAACUUGUAAUUAUGUAGAUUACUAAUUCUACUUCAAAAUGACACACAGUCUUCAUGUGAUAAAAGGAAACAAUUGGUAAGUGUAAGCAUUGAGAACAAACAUUCUUUUUUCCACUCCUGACUCCAUUCCAACGUUCAGACAGUGUUUUCUCUGUGCCUGUAGAAACCUCAGCUCCUGUGCCGAGGAGCCUGGUCCCUUUGGCAAAGCAGUGUGGCAGUCAGGUGCUGGCAGGAAACUCUCAUCAGCUGACGGGCCAUUAAGAAGGAGCUGUUUACAACGGCGUGGGCAGGGUCAGGGGGAACGAGGAGGGAUGGCACAAGGCCCUGGGGUUAGGGUCAUCUGGGAACUGUCACCACCCCCCAGUCUUGUGGAGCCAUAGAGAAGCUUUCUCAGGAACUCAUAGGGAGAAUCUGCAGCUGAAAGGGGAGGCCAGAGGAGACAUCACUCCCUUGCCCUUUGACUGCGUCUGGAUGCCCCUACUGACCACACUACCAUCCCCUUAUUAGACUGGAGAGGCUGCCGGGAGGGUUCCUAAGCCUCCUAUUGUGGCUCACCUCCAACAGGAUCUCUACUAAGAUGUUGGCAGCCCGGCCAGCUGGUCUGGCCAUGGAUGUGACUUCAGGGGCUGGUUAUGCUUCAUGCACCUGCUUCUAGCUUCACUGUUGGGCCAGAUUUCAUCCCCAUCCCAGCUCUGCAGCACACCUGCUUCUUGAUUCCUCCAUGGACCCUGCGUGAAAUUACCCCAUGUUUCCCUUUGUGCACCACUGAGGAAGGAAGCAUGAAGGACGCACAGCCAUUUUGCAGACCCUGGUCACAGUGAAACAUUCCAUGGGAACUCAGGCUGUGAGAAUCAUCCUUCCUAACCACAUGACUGCAGGAACAUCCUUAUCGCACCCUCCCAGGCAAAGGCCCAACAGCCUGACUGCAGGGACAUCCUUGCCAUUUCCUGCUGGGCAGCAAGCUCUACCACCCAGACCCCUCCCUCCCAUCCCAUGAUUACCUCAGCCUGUGAGCGGCAGUUGGCGCUGGCACUAAGCUGGUUCACCCCUCCUCAGGGUUUUGUUGGCAAUAAAAGUGUUGCUGUUGAAGCCGCCAA